AAUAAUAGGAUGGAUACGUUUAAUAAUAUCAACCAUAGUCCUGGGAGGUAAGGGUUAAAUUGAACUCUAACAUGUAUCAUGUUACAUUAAACUAACAUGUAUCAUGGUUGCAUUAAACUAAAAUGUAUCAUGGUUACAUUAAAUUAACAUGUAUCAGGGUUAUGCUGAAUGAUAUUGACUGCUGUCCUGACAUGUUACUGUAUUGUUUAUCUCUAUAUAGUAUGGAUUGAUCGACUUCUGGAGAAAGAGGAAAUGACCAAUACAGACAAUAACCAUGAAUUGGCUGAUCAAAUACGUAAGAUGGUAAGUGUUAUUACUGGUUUGAUACAAAACCCCAUAAUAUGUGUGACCCUAGCUGGCAGUGAUGGAGUUAUGAGAUGAUGAUCUUAACGGACCCAAUGUUGAUAUUUUGUUUACAUUUUUAU
Molecule: long non-coding RNA, 425 nt
Organism: Gadus morhua (Atlantic cod)
Lineage: Eukaryota; Metazoa; Chordata; Actinopteri; Gadiformes; Gadidae
Exons: 3
Source: RefSeq, a predicted model, not a curated record